This 64-nucleotide transfer RNA is filed under the name human gut metagenome. It matches the Rfam family "tRNA", at positions 5 to 66 of the family's 71-position model. From Rfam's summary of the family: Transfer RNA (tRNA) molecules are approximately 80 nucleotides in length. The record is from RNAcentral. RNAcentral also lists the same sequence under 1 other name.
GAUUAGCUCAGCCGGUAGAGCACUCGGCUGUUAACCGAUAGGUCGUAGGUUCGAGUCCUACAUC